CACGCCGUAAACGAUGAGUGCUAGGUGUUAGACCCUUUCCGGGGUUUAGUGCCGCAGCUAACGCAUUAAGCACUCCGCCUGGGGAGUACGACCGCAAGGUUGAAACUCAAAGGAAUUGACGGGGGCCCGCACAAGCGGUGGAGCAUGUGGUUUAAUUCGAAGCAACGCGAAGAACCUUACCAGGUCUUGACAUCCCUCUGACCGCUCUAGAGAUAGAGUUUUCCUUCGGGACAGAGGUGACAGGUGGUGCAUGGUUGUCGUCAGCUCGUGUCGUGGGAUGUUGGGUUNNNNNNNGCAACGAGCGCAACCCCUAUUGUUAGUUGCCAUCAUUCAGUUGGGCACUCUAGCGAGACUGCCGGUAAUAAACCGGGGGAAGGUGGGGAUGACGUCAAAUCAUCAUGCCCCUUAUGACCUGGGCUACACACGUGCUACAAUGGCUGGUACAACGAGUCGCAAGCCGGUGACGGCAAGCUAAUCUCUUAAAGCCAGUCUCAGUUCGGAUUGUAGGCUGCAACUCGCCUACAUGAAGUCGGAAUCGCUAGUAAUCGCGGAUCAGCACGCCGCGGUGAAUACGUUCCCGGGCCUU
RNAcentral lists this ribosomal RNA (586 nucleotides) under uncultured bacterium. RNAcentral describes it as "bacterial SSU rRNA". It matches the Rfam family "Bacterial small subunit ribosomal RNA", at positions 796 to 1382 of the family's 1533-position model. The record is from RNAcentral.